RNAcentral lists this ribosomal RNA (469 nucleotides) under uncultured bacterium. RNAcentral's name for it is "bacterial SSU rRNA". It matches the Rfam family "Bacterial small subunit ribosomal RNA", at positions 52 to 518 of the family's 1533-position model. The record is from RNAcentral.
CACAUGCAAGUCGAGGGGUAGCAGGGUAGCAAUACCGCUGACGACCGGCGCACGGGUGAGUAACACGUAUCCAACCUUCCCAUAACUCAGGGAUAGCCUUUCGAAAGAAAGAUUAAUACCUGAUAGUACUUUUUCAAGGCAUCUUGAGAAGUUAAAGAUUUAUUGGUUAUGGAUGGGGAUGCGUUCCAUUAGAUAGUUGGUGAGGUAACGGCUCACCAAGUCUUCGAUGGAUAGGGGUUCUGAGAGGAAGGUCCCCCACAUUGGUACUGAGACACGGACCAAACUCCUACGGGAGGCAGCAGUGAGGAAUAUUGGUCAAUGGGCGAGAGCCUGAACCAGCCAAGUAGCGUGAAGGAAUGAAGGUCCUAUGGAUUGUAAACUUCUUUUAUAGUAGAAUAAAGUGAUCCACGUGUGGAUUUUUGUAUGUAUACUAUGAAUAAGGAUCGGCUAACUCCGUGCCAGCCGCGGC